AGAGUUUGAUCAUGGCUCAGAAUCAACGCUGGCGGCGCGCUUAACACAUGCAAGUCGCACGAGAAAGUGGAGCAAUCCAUGAGUAAAGUGGCGUACGGGUGAGUAACACGUGGAUCAUCUACCUCUUGGUGGGGAAUAACCCUGGGAAACCGGGGCUAAUACCGCAUAAGCCUGCAAAGGGAAAGCAGCAAUGCGCCGAGAGAGGAGUCCGCGGCCGAUUAGCUGGUUGGUAGGGUAAUGGCCUACCAAGGCAAUGAUCGGUAGCCGGCCUGAGAGGGCACACGGCCACACUGGCACUGAAACACGGGCCAGACUCCUACGGGAGGCAGCAGUGGGGAAUCUUGCACAAUGGGGGAAACCCUGAUGCAGCGACGCCGCGUGAGCGAUGAAGCCCUUCGGGGUGUAAAGCUCUUUCGGCAGGAACGAUAAUGACGGUACCUGCAGAAGAAGCUGCGGCUAACUACGUGCCAGCAGCCGCGGUAAUACGUAGGCAGCAAGCGUUGUUCGGAAUUACUGGGCGUAAAGAGUGUGUAGGCGGUUCUCUAAGUUCCGUGUGAAAUCUCCCGGCUUAACUGGGAGGGUGCGCGGGAAACUGGAGGGCUGGAGUAUGGGAGAGGAAAGCGGAAUUCCUGGUGUAGCGGUGAAAUGCGUAGAUAUCAGGAGGAACACCUGCGGUGUAGACAGCUUUCUGGACCAUCACUGACGCUGAGACACGAAAGCGUGGGUAGCAAACAGGAUUAGAUACCCCUGUAGUCC
This 756-nucleotide ribosomal RNA is filed under the name uncultured bacterium. RNAcentral describes it as "bacterial SSU rRNA". It matches the Rfam family "Bacterial small subunit ribosomal RNA", at positions 8 to 796 of the family's 1533-position model. The record is from RNAcentral.